This 1032-nucleotide long non-coding RNA is filed under the name Erythranthe guttata (spotted monkey flower). RNAcentral's name for it is "long non-coding RNA (EGUT_LNC002171)". The record is from RNAcentral. Lineage: Eukaryota; Viridiplantae; Streptophyta; Magnoliopsida; Lamiales; Phrymaceae.
GUAGUCAUUUUAUAACUUCUGCUGUAGACAAUCAACCUAAAUAAUAAUAAAAAAAAAAAAAAAAAAAAAAAUACAAAACAAAACAAACAAACAAGGGCUAUGUGAGUAAAGCAAGAAAGACCAUAAUUGGUUCAAAAAAACUCAGAUAUGCACAUAUUCAAGUAAUAGAUACAUAGAAAUGUGCACCUCUUUCAAAUGUAAGGAUUCAAAUGUGCGGCAUUACUCCCGAUAUGCGGAUUCAAAGAAGGAUCUCGAAUAUGUUUUUGUUCUAAAAAGUGUGCGGAUUUGUUGUGGUAUUCAGGAAAUGAAAAAUAAGAGGGUUCUCAUUUACGUCGAGCGUACGAUGCAGAGUAACACUCAUAGUGCUUGAGUCUGCCCCUUGCCACUGUGCCACAUGGAAGUUGGUAUUGCCAUUGUUGUGCCGCUGUCAAGAAUAUUGCUUGAGACUCUCCUCUACCAAAACUUCAUCGGUUGGUCAAGAAUAAAUUAAAUUGAAGAGAGACUUUAUAAAAUUUGUCGCAAUAGUACCAUAUGUCUGAUCCAAAAAAGGAAACAUAGAGUGAGAUUUCGUAAACUUCAUUCAUAAGAAAAACGUUCAUGUAAUUCAAGGAAAUUGGUAAAUUUAUAAAGCUUAGUUCUUCGAUCUCCCCUUAUCUUUCAUUAUUAGUGAUUUAAUUUUUUCAUAAAUUAACUCCGAAAAAUGCAUUAAAUCAAAGGGAAAGAACCCUCUAGGGUUGCAUAAGUUUUCAUUAGUAAAGAAAGUAACAAAUCCACAUUCGAUAAAAACAAAUCCUAAACUACAAAGAUCUUACAAUUUAAAUACACACAAAAAACCACCUUAAACAACAUUUCCAACAUGCAGAUCAUAGAAAAUCUUAAAUAUAUCAGCCACAUCAUAUAUAUCAAAUCUGAUAUCAAAUCCGAAAUCGAAAAAAAUGAACAAAUUCAAUUUGAUUUCGCAUCAAGUUGGCAAAAAAAAAAAAAAAAAAAAAAAAGCUACCUGUAGGCCAUUAUCAUCCAUUUCAUUGGGAU